This 217-nucleotide ribosomal RNA is filed under the name uncultured bacterium. RNAcentral's name for it is "partial 16S ribosomal RNA". It matches the Rfam family "Bacterial small subunit ribosomal RNA", at positions 28 to 245 of the family's 1533-position model. The record is from RNAcentral.
GACGAACGCUGGCGGCGUGCUUAACACAUGCAAGUCGAGCGGUAAGGCCCUUUCGGGGGUACGACGAGCGGCGAACGGUGAGUAACACGUGGGUGACCUGCCCUCAGCUCUGGGAUAAAGCCCGGGAAACUGGGUCUAAUACCGGAUAUGACUCCAUGACGCAUGUUGUGGGGUGGAAAGCCUUGUGCGGCUGAGGAUGGGCCCGCGGCCUAUCAGC